UACGACUACAUAUCAGGCAUAUCAAUAAGCGGAGGAAAAGAAACUAACAAGGAUUCCCUUAGUAACGGCGAGUGAAGCGGGAAGAGCUCAAAUUUGAAAUCUUAAAGGGUUUCUACCUUGACGAAUUGUAGUUUAAAGAAGUGUUUUCUGUUAGAGGAGUUCGGUAAAAGUUCCUUGGAAUAGGACAUCAUAGAGGGUGAGAAUCCCGUAUUUGACCGUUAUCUUUCUAGCUGUGUGAUACACUUUCAAAGAGUCGGAUUGUUUGGGAAUGCAGUCCAAAAUGGGUGGUAAAUUUCAUCUAAAGCUAAAUAUUGGCGAGAGACCGAUAGCGAACAAGUACCGUGAGGGAAAGAUGAAAAGAACUUUGAAAAGAGAGUUAAACAGUACGUGAAAUUGUCAAAAGGGAAGCGUUUGACACCAGUGUUGUUUUCUCGAAAAUCAAUUAAAGAGUGCUUGAUUUUGUGUUGUAUUGACCUUAAUCAGCUUUCUUCACUCUUUUUCGAGUCUUUCUUAAUGCACCUUUUCGGUUAACAAGUCAACAUCAAUUUCUUUUGUUGUAAAAGGGUAUUUGGAAGGUGGCUUUCUUUUCGGAGAAAGUGUUUAUAGCCUUAUACCUCUACAAUCGGAGAGAUUGAGGUCUGCAGCGUAGAUCCUUCGGGGCUAGAUACACUUGUGCUAAGUUAUAGCUUUUCAUAGACAACUUGUUGACUAUGUUUAGUCAUGUAGCUUACCCGCUUGUGCUAUUUUACCUACGCUUAGGAUGUUGAUCUACAGAGCGAGAGU
RNAcentral lists this ribosomal RNA (783 nucleotides) under uncultured Neocallimastigales. RNAcentral's name for it is "partial large subunit ribosomal RNA". It matches the Rfam family "Eukaryotic large subunit ribosomal RNA", at positions 24 to 635 of the family's 3401-position model. Lineage: Eukaryota; Fungi; Neocallimastigomycota; Neocallimastigomycetes; Neocallimastigales. The record is from RNAcentral.